AUUGAACGCUGGCGGCAGGCCUAACACAUGCAAGUCGAGCGGAUGAAGGGAGCUUGCUCCUGGAUUCAGCGGCGGACGGGUGAGUAAUGCCUAGGAAUCUGCCUGGUAGUGGGGGAUAACGUCCGGAAACGGGCGCUAAUACCGCAUACGUCCUGAGGGAGAAAGUGGGGGAUCUUCGGACCUCACGCUAUCAGAUGAGCCUAGGUCGGAUUAGCUAGUUGGUGGGGUAAAGGCCUACCAAGGCGACGAUCCGUAACUGGUCUGAGAGGAUGAUCAGUCACACUGGAACGGAGACACGGUCCAGACUCCUACGGGAGGCAGCAGUGGGGAAUAUUGGACAAUGGGCGAAAGCCUGAUCCAGCCAUGCCGCGUGUGUGAAGAAGGUCUUCGGAUUGUAAAGCACUUUAAGUUGGGAGGAAGGGCAGUAAGUUAAUACCUUGCUGUUUUGACGUCACCAACAGAAUAAGCACCGGCUAACUUCGUG
This 484-nucleotide ribosomal RNA is filed under the name uncultured bacterium. RNAcentral describes it as "partial 16S ribosomal RNA". It matches the Rfam family "Bacterial small subunit ribosomal RNA", at positions 30 to 507 of the family's 1533-position model. The record is from RNAcentral.